UGUAAAUGAUGUUUUAUCACGAUGGUCUACUGAUAUCAUUGAUGAGAUGCCUUAUGGCUUUUAUCUGAUGCAGCAAU
This is a small nucleolar RNA of Mytilus californianus (California mussel), 77 nucleotides long. RefSeq annotates it as small nucleolar RNA SNORD35. The transcript has a single exon. NCBI's taxonomy places the organism in Eukaryota, Metazoa, Mollusca, Bivalvia, Mytilida, Mytilidae. The record is from RefSeq and is a predicted model, not a curated record.